AUUGAACGCUGGCGGCAGGCUUAACACAUGCAAGUCGAGCGGAGUGAUGGUGCUUGCACUAUCACUUAGCGGCGGACGGGUGAGUAAUGCUUAGGAAUCUGCCUAUUAGUGGGGGACAACAUCUCGAAAGGGAUGCUAAUACCGCAUACGUCCUACGGGAGAAAGCAGGGGAUCACUUGUGACCUUGCGCUAAUAGAUGAGCCUAAGUCGGAUAGCUAGUUGGUGGGGUAAAGGCCUACCAAGGCGACGAUCUGUAGCGGGUCUGAGAGGAUGAUCCGCCAAACUGGGACUGAGACACGGCCCAGACUGCUACGGGAGGCAGCAGUGGGGAAUAUUGGACAAUGGGGGGAACCCUGAUCCAGCCAUGCCGCGUGUGUGAAGAAGGCCUUAUGGUUGUAAAGCACUUUAAGCGAGGAGGAGGCUCUUUUGGUUAAUACCCAAGAUGAGUGGACGUUACUCGCAGAAUAAGCACCGGCUAACUCUGUGCCAGCCGCCGCAGUAA
This 502-nucleotide ribosomal RNA is filed under the name uncultured bacterium. RNAcentral describes it as "partial 16S ribosomal RNA". It matches the Rfam family "Bacterial small subunit ribosomal RNA", at positions 30 to 523 of the family's 1533-position model. The record is from RNAcentral.